This 677-nucleotide ribosomal RNA is filed under the name uncultured Coxiella sp. Its description in RNAcentral is "bacterial SSU rRNA". It matches the Rfam family "Bacterial small subunit ribosomal RNA", at positions 60 to 732 of the family's 1533-position model. Lineage: Bacteria; Pseudomonadati; Pseudomonadota; Gammaproteobacteria; Legionellales; Coxiellaceae. The record is from RNAcentral.
AGUCGAACGGCAGCGCGGGCUUCGGCCUGGCGGCGAGUGGCGAACGGGUGAGUAAUGCAUCGGAACGUGCCCUGGAGUGGGGGAUAACUAGUCGAAAGAUUAGCUAAUACCGCAUACGAUCUACGGAUGAAAGUGGGGGAUCGCAAGACCUCAUGCUCCUGGAGCGGCCGAUGUCUGAUUAGCUAGUUGGUGGGGUAAAAGCCUACCAAGGCGACGAUCCGUAGCUGGUCUGAGAGGAUGAUCAGCCACACUGGGACUGAGACACGGCCCAGACUCCUACGGGAGGCAGCAGUGGGGAAUAUUGGACAAUGGGCGCAAGCCUGAUCCAGCAAUGCCGUGUGUGUGAAGAAGGCCUUCGGGUUGUAAAGCACUUUUAGUUGGGAAGAAAAGCUUGUGGUUAAUAACCAUGAGUGCUGACGUUACCAACAGAAAAAGCACUGGCUAACUCUGUGCCAGCAGCCGCGGUAAUACAGAGAGUGCAAGCGUUAAUCGGAAUUACUGGGCGUAAAGCGCACGUAGGUGGAUGUUUAAGUCGGAUGUGAAAGCCCUGGGCUUAACCUAGGAAUUGCAUUCGAUACUGGGCGUCUAGAGUAUAGUAGAGGGAAGUGGAAUUUCCGGUGUAGCGGUGAAAUGCGUAGAUAUCGGAAAGAACACCAGUGGCGAAAGCGGCUUCCUGG